CUCUCAACCGCCCCCACUCCCUCAUAACCGAUUUCCCUCCCCCUCUUUUCCAUUCGUUCUCUCUUCUCGGUCUCUCUCUCUCUCUCUCUCUCUCGCUCUCUAGCUCUCAUCUCUCUCGAAGUGUGCUCUCACGGUGUUACGCUCGUACGUUGUAAAUCGGUGUAGGGAAAGCUUCGAAUUUACGUUUGAACUAUCCAAGAAAGGGUGAUCGUUUACGAGGAAAGUGUGGUUGAAGAAGGGAAUUAUUUUAAAAGCUAAG
Salvia splendens (bonfire salvia) is the source of this 259-nucleotide long non-coding RNA. RefSeq lists it as uncharacterized. The transcript is spliced from 3 exons. The record is from RefSeq and is a predicted model, not a curated record. Lineage: Eukaryota; Viridiplantae; Streptophyta; Magnoliopsida; Lamiales; Lamiaceae.